UAUAGUUUCUCUGGUCAUGUCUAGGAUUUCAUGGCGGACGGGUGAGUAACGCGUAAGAAUCUACCUUCAGGUCGGGGACAACCACUGGAAACGGUGGCUAAUACCGGAUGUGCCGAGAGGUGAAAGGCUUGCUGCCUGAAGAAGAGCUUGCGUCUGAUUAGCUAGUUGGUGGGGUAAGAGCCUACCAAGGCGACGAUCAGUAGCUGGUCUGAGAGGAUGAUCAGCCACACUGGGACUGAGACACGGCCCAGACUCCUACGCGAGGCAGCAGUGGGGAAUUUUCCGCAAUGGGCGAAAGCCUGACGGAGCAAUACCGCGUGAGGGAGGAAGGCUCUUGGGUUGUAAACCUCUUUUCUCAGGGAAGAAAAAAUGACGGUACCUGAGGAAUAAGCAUCGGCUAACUCCGUGCCAGCAGCCGCGGUAAUACGGAGGAUGCAAGCGUUAUCCGGAAUGAUUGGGCGUAAAGGGUCCGCAGGUGGCAUUGUAAGUCUGCUGUUAAAGAGUCUGGCUCAACCAGAUAAAAGCAGUGGAAACUACAAAGCUAGAGUAUGGUCGGGGCAGAGGGAAUUCCUGGUGUAGCGGUGAAAUGCGUAGAUAUCAGGAAGAACACCGGUGGCGAAGGCGCUCUGCUAGGCCAAAACUGACACUGAGGGACGAAAGCUAGGGGAGCGAAUGGGAUUAGAUACCCCAGUAGUCCUAGCCGUAAACGAUGGAUACUAGGCGUAGCUCGUAUCGACCCGAGCUGUGCCGUAGCUAACGCGUUAAGUAUCCCGCCUGGGGAGUACGCAGGCAACUUGUAAACUCAAAGGAAUUGACGGGGGCCCGCACAAGCGGUGGAGUAUGUGGUUUAAUUCGAUGCAACGCGAAGAACCUUACCAAGACUUGACAUGUCACGAAUUCCGUUGAAAGAUGGAAGUGCCUUAGGGAGCGUGAACACAGGUGGUGCAUGGCUGUCGUCAGCUCGUGUCGUGAGAUGUUGGGUUAAGUCCCGCAACGAGCGCAACCCUCGUUUUUAGUUGCCAGCAUUAAGUUGGGCACUCUAGAGAGACUGCCGGUGACAAACCGGAGGAAGGUGGGGAUGACGUCAAGUCAGCAUGCCCCUUACGUCUUGGGCUACACACGUACUACAAUGCUACGGACAAAGGGCAGCUACACAGCGAUGUGAUGCGAAUCUCAGAAACCGUAGCUCAGUUCAGAUCGAAGGCUGCAACUCGCCUUCGUGAAGGAGGAAUCGCUAGUAAUUGCAGGUCAGCAUACUGCAGUGAAUUCGUUCCCGGGCCUUGUACACACCGCCCGUCACACCAUGGAAGUUGGUCACGCCCGAAGUCGUUACCCCAACCUUUUGGAGGGGGAUGCCUAAGGUAGGACUGAUGACUGGGGUGAAGUCGUAACAAGGUAG
Molecule: ribosomal RNA, 1399 nt
Filed under: Anabaena sp. XP34A
Lineage: Bacteria; Bacillati; Cyanobacteriota; Cyanophyceae; Nostocales; Nostocaceae
Description: bacterial SSU rRNA
Rfam family: Bacterial small subunit ribosomal RNA
Source: RNAcentral